RNAcentral lists this ribosomal RNA (245 nucleotides) under uncultured Slackia sp. RNAcentral describes it as "partial 16S ribosomal RNA". It matches the Rfam family "Bacterial small subunit ribosomal RNA", at positions 524 to 768 of the family's 1533-position model. The record is from RNAcentral. Lineage: Bacteria; Bacillati; Actinomycetota; Coriobacteriia; Eggerthellales; Eggerthellaceae.
UACGUGGGGGGCGAGCGUUAUCCGGAUUCAUUGGGCGUAAAGCGCGCGUAGGCGGCCCGCCAAGCCGGUGCGUCAAAGACCGGGGCUCAACCCCGGCACGCGCCCGGAACCGGCGGGCUGGAGUCCGGUAGGGGGGGGCGGAAUUCCCGGUGUAGCGGUGAAAUGCGCAGAUAUCGGGAGGAACACCGACGGCGAAGGCAGCCCCCUGGGCCGGCACUGACGCUGAGGCGCGAGAGCCGGGGGAG